UUUUCCUACGGGGGGCUGCAGUGGGGAAUAUUGGACAAUGGGCGAAAGCCUGAUCCAGCCAUGCCGCGUGUGUGAAGAAGGUCUUCGGAUUGUAAAGCACUUUAAGUUGGGAGGAAGGGCAGUAAAUUAAUACUUUGCUGUUUUGACGUUACCGACAGAAUAAGCACCGGCUAACUCUGUGCCAGCAGCCGCGGUAAUACAGAGGGUGCAAGCGUUAAUCGGAAUUACUGGGCGUAAAGCGCGCGUAGGUGGUUUGUUAAGUUGGAUGUGAAAGCCCCGGGCUCAACCUGGGAACUGCAUUCAAAACUGACAAGCUAGAGUAUGGUAGAGGGUGGUGGAAUUUCCUGUGUAGCGGUGAAAUGCGUAGAUAUAGGAAGGAACACCAGUGGCGAAGGCGACCACCUGGACUGAUACUGACACUGAGGUGCGAAAGCGUGGGGAGCAAACAGGAUUAGAUACCCCGGU
This 465-nucleotide ribosomal RNA is filed under the name Pseudomonas migulae. RNAcentral describes it as "bacterial SSU rRNA". It matches the Rfam family "Bacterial small subunit ribosomal RNA", at positions 334 to 791 of the family's 1533-position model. Lineage: Bacteria; Pseudomonadati; Pseudomonadota; Gammaproteobacteria; Pseudomonadales; Pseudomonadaceae. The record is from RNAcentral.